UCACGAAGUGAUUUCUUUGCUAGACUAUCAGCCAGAGAGUUGCUAGAUCGAGGAAUAUAGAAGAAACAAACAGAUCUAAAUUGAGAAGAAAGAUUUUUUUUAUGUCAUGGAGUAGUCCGUAGAGCUCCUUGAUUUGCACGUCGUUUGUGAUCGCGUUGAUGAGAGUCUGCGAGUCAGAAGUGAGAGCUAUUUUCCGGUAUUCCAAUCGGAGGGCAUCUCUCAACGCCGAUAAGAGUGCAAGAGUCUCUCUAAUCAUAGGAGAGGCAACAAAGGGUUUGAUUCCGUGCCUUAUCCGAUGCGGCGGUUCUGUUUCUUAAAAACCCAUCCCGAUCUCGACAUAUGGAUGUAAUUCCUCCAGGCCGCAUCCGUGAUGAUGCUAAUCCUGUCUCCCGGAACGGAAGGUGGUCUCAAGAGCGGUUCACUGGAUCGAUUCUCCAGGAGUAAAUUGCGUGAGCACCAGAGUUGCCAACAAAUCCAUGGGAAGAGGGGUUCCGGGCCAAAACCAUUGGGUGGGAGGCAGAUUAGCUUCUUCCCAUGGAUGAAUCCUGAAGUGAAGUCAUUGAAGAGGGCAAGAUCGAAGUUUUCAGUGAAGGGUGCUAUCUCCCAUAAGCUUCUUGCGAAGGGGCAGUGAGGGAAGAGAUGUUGUGCCGUUUCAGAGUCUCCGCAUCUAGGACAAGAAGAAGAUGCUUGCACUCCCCUCCUCAAAAAUAUUUUACCUAGAGGUGCAUUGCGGUUGGUAGCGUUUAUUGCAGCAUGGUAGCCGGAUUUGACAGAGUAGUCACCUGAUGGAUUAAGCAGCCAAUGUACUUGUCUUCAAGAUCCGAUGAGCUUGGUUGGAUGCUGAGGAUUUGCGAUUUGU
Molecule: long non-coding RNA, 859 nt
Organism: Eutrema salsugineum
Lineage: Eukaryota; Viridiplantae; Streptophyta; Magnoliopsida; Brassicales; Brassicaceae
Exons: 3
Source: RefSeq, a predicted model, not a curated record